This 492-nucleotide ribosomal RNA is filed under the name uncultured bacterium. RNAcentral's name for it is "partial 16S ribosomal RNA". It matches the Rfam family "Bacterial small subunit ribosomal RNA", at positions 29 to 507 of the family's 1533-position model. The record is from RNAcentral.
AUUGAACGCUGGCGGCAUGCUUUACACAUGCAAGUCGAACGGUAACAGGCCUUCGGGUGCUGACGAGUGGCGAACGGGUGAGUAAUGCAUCGGAACGUGCCCAGAGGUGGGGGAUAACGCAGCGAAAGCUGUGCUAAUACCGCAUGUGAUCUGAGGAUGAAAGCGGGGGACCAAGCAGCAAUGUUUGGCCUCGCGCCUCUGGAGCGGCCGAUGUCAGAUUAGGUAGUUGGGGGGGUAAAGGCCUACCAAGCCGACGAUCUGUAGCUGGUCUGAGAGGACGACCAGCCACACUGGGACUGAGACACGGCCCAGACUCCUACGGGAGGCAGCAGUGGGGAAUUUUGGACAAUGGGCGCAAGCCUGAUCCAGCAAUGCCGCGUGCGGGAAGAAGGCCUUCGGGUUGUAAACCGCUUUUGUGCGGAACGAAAAGGCUCUGGCUAAUACCUGGGGCUGAUGACGGUACCGUAAGAAUAAGCACCGGCUAACUACGUG